This 842-nucleotide ribosomal RNA is filed under the name Coomansus gerlachei. RNAcentral's name for it is "SSU rRNA". It matches the Rfam family "Eukaryotic small subunit ribosomal RNA", at positions 153 to 1000 of the family's 1831-position model. The record is from RNAcentral. Lineage: Eukaryota; Metazoa; Nematoda; Enoplea; Mononchida; Mononchidae.
CAAUUCUAGAGCUAAUACAUGCACGCAGUCUCGGACCUUCGGGAAAGAGCGCAUUUAUUAGAACAAAACCAAUCGAGCUUCGGCUUGUUUAUUGGUGACUCUGAAUAACUUAGUUAAUCGCAUGGUCUUAGUACCGGCGAUGUAUCUUUCAAAUGUCUGCCUUAUCAACUUUCGACGGUAGGUUAUACGCCUACCGUGGUUAUAACGGGUAACGGAGAAUAAGGGUUCGACUCCGGAGAGGGGGCUUGAGAAAUGGCCACCACAUCCAAGGAAGGCAGCAGGCGCGCAAAUUACCCAAUCCCAGAACGGGGAGGUAGUGACGAAAAAUAACGAGACAGUCCACUAUGUGGCCUGUCAUCGGAAUGGGUACAGUUUAAACUUCUUAACGAGGAUCUAUUAGAGGGCAAGUCUGGUGCCAGCAGCCGCGGUAAUUCCAGCUCUAAUAGCGUAUAUUAAAGUUGUUGUGGUUAAAACGCCCGUAGUUGGAUCUUCGGUCUUGAAGCUCGGUAAUUCGUAAGAAUUUAACUGAGUCUUCUGGCCUAAAUUUUAGUUUUCCCCUGAUGCUCUUUAUUGAGUGUCUUGGGUAGCUGGAACGUUUACUUUGAAAAAAUUAGAGUGCUAAAAGCAGGCUAUAUGCUUGAAUAAAGUGCAUGGAAUAAUGGAAUAGGACUUUAGUCUCAUUUUGUUGGUUUUCGAAAUUAAAGUAAUGAUUAAGAGGAACAGACGGGGGCAUUCGUAUUGUUGCGUUAGAGGUGAAAUUCUUGGAUCGCAGCAAGACGAACGACUGCGAAAGCAUUUGCCAAGAAUGUUUUCAUUAAUCAAGGACGAUAGUUAGAGGUUCG